Molecule: transfer RNA, 68 nt
Filed under: Rattus niobe (Eastern New Guinea mountain rat)
Lineage: Eukaryota; Metazoa; Chordata; Mammalia; Rodentia; Muridae
Description: tRNA-Tyr
Rfam family: tRNA
About the family: Transfer RNA (tRNA) molecules are approximately 80 nucleotides in length. Their secondary structure includes four short double-helical elements and three loops (D, anti-codon, and T loops). Further hydrogen bonds mediate the characteristic L-shaped molecular structure. tRNAs have two regions of fundamental functional importance: the anti-codon, which is responsible for specific mRNA codon recognition, and the 3' end, to which the tRNAs corresponding amino acid is attached (by aminoacyl-tRNA synthetases). tRNAs cope with the degeneracy of the genetic code in two manners: having more than one tRNA (with a specific anti-codon) for a particular amino acid; and 'wobble' base-pairing, i.e. permitting non-standard base-pairing at the 3rd anti-codon position.
Source: RNAcentral
GGUAAGAUGGCUGAGUAAGGCAUUAGACUGUAAAUCUAAAGACAGGGGUUAAAUUCCCCUUCUUACCA